UGUUCUCGUCUUCGGUUCGGCCGCGAGCCCGCCGUGGGGCACGGCCGCAGGAAAAGCGGACAGGCGACGUGGGAAUGUCGGAUGUGCCGAGUGAUGGCUGCUCUCAAAGCUAGUGUGGGUCAGCGUGGACGGGGAGGGUGAGAGGAUGUGAUGUCCGAGAAGGAGAGUGCAUUUAGAUCAGCCGUGAGCGUGGAUUGAUAAAAGCACUCAGAGAAAUCUGUGACUGGGAGGACCGCCCUUACGCUGCCCUGGUUUUGGAGUUCUCAGAGCAGAAUUUCCCUGGGGUUUUCUGCAGGGCAAUCAGAUUUAGAAGUGACUGCUCAGAUCCCCAGCUGUACUUCUGGCUUCGCCAGCAGUUGGUGCGGGUUGCUGGGGCUGCUGCUCACCCUCAGGGAGAUUUGCAAACCCCAGCCGGGGGUUGAUCCACUCCUGAAAGCGGGUCCUCUCGACUUUGGAAUCGAGUCAUGAAUUUGUCACUUCCAAGCACGGGGCUGCACAGUGUGACAGAUGUGUGCUGCAGUCGCACUGCUUCACAUCAGGAGCAGAGGGAGGACAAUUUCCCCUUGCAGUCAUUAUGAUGCUUUGUGACAAUGAAAAGGAAAUAUUUCUGUCAGAAGAUCAAGGAGUAAGACCCAAAAGGAGCUCAUUAGUUGCCCUUCGAGGGGAUGCAUUUCAUGCUUUGGGACUCAGUAUUCUUUUCAAAACCCAGUGUGGUCACAAACUGAGUUAACCUCAUGGUGAUAGAGUGCCCUGCUGGCAUACAGUAGGUGAGCCUGGAAAUUUCUGGUGAUGCUUUAGUCACUGAAAUUUACUGCUCGUGUUCUGUCAUGUGAGAGCACGGUUGUCAUGAAUUUGGAGAAGCAGAGCUCAUCAUACAUUUUAAGAACGGGCACAGAGAUUCCCUUUGUGUUCACAAUUCUCUUUCAAACCAUUUCUGAGCAACUGAACUUGAGCUGAGGUUCACUAUGAGUGCGUGGGGGCUGCUUUUCUCUGUAAAACAAAAGCAUUCAGGAAUGGUGGAACUGAAACUUAUUUAGAAUUCAAACAUGCAAUAGCGAGAAAUGUUUUGCUCUUUGCUUUGCUGUAGUGCACUCCAGCCAGUGAGUAGAUUCAAAGGCUGCUUUGUUCAAGACACUGUUUGAACACAGCGCAACCAACCUUAACAGCUUAACACCUGCAUAGGCCAGGUUCUCUGCCUCCCCUCCAAAGAGCAGAGAUUGGAAGUGCUUGACUGUGUGUCACAGUAAGGUAAAUCAGAGCCAAAACCACAGCUCAGAUCUUUUAAAUCCCAGCCAGGCCCUGGAGCACCUGAGCUGCCUUCCUGCUGCCAUCGCUGAGGCCCUCAGGCCAUACCGCAGCCCAGUGUUUCUCAGGUGGGAUGGAGGUUGGCUGCUGCUUGCCGCAGGUGUGCCAGGAAAGUUGUUUCACUUUCAUGUAAUUUUUGACUUUGUAAGAUCACAAGGGGAAGACAUCUCCUCCGGAUGCACGUGCAGUCUGGCUGCCAUGGUCUGAGUAGCUGACAAAGCGUCUGUCCAAAAAGUCUUCCUCAUUCAACAAGAAUGUGGUAAUAAUAUCUAGCUGCAAAGCUUCAGAGGUUAACAGGACUCCACUGGGUAGGUUUGCUCCCAGCCACCCUACCAGCACAGGCAAUGAAGGGCAAGCACAUCAGGCUGUUGCCCAAGGAGUUUGGUGUCAUUUGUAUGUGAACUGCAGGCUGGGAUGCUCCAUAAUGUAUCCUAGAAUGGCUUGCUCAGGAGAAGCAUGUCUCAGUCAUAACAUACGAAGAACCUUGAAUGAGGACUUUGGGAUAGGAGGAGUUGGGACUUCAGACUUGAUGGUCCCACAAGUUCAGCUUUAUUAGGAUAUCUUGAUUGUUUUCUACUCACAUUUCCUUUUGCAAGCCUCUAUCCUCAUCCUUCUAUUUUCUUUCUUACCCCCUCUAUCCCUUAAAAGCCCCACCAUCUGGGCCUUGGAAAGAGGUCCAUUCCAGUGGGUUUGGAUGAAGUUAUUACUCUUGGCUAAGAUGAGGUUCCUUUACCCAGUAGGGGGCAGUGCAUAAAUCUGGAGCCGAUGCAGAGCUGCUGUGCAGAGCCCUCGUGGAAAUGAGACCUCCAGAAGUUACUUAAGUUUGAAGCACUGCUGCAAAGUUAAAUGACUGCAAUCUCUGCUGAUACUCAGCUUAAUGAGCACUCACUGCAUAUGGCAAGGUGAAUUAGGCAUUGAUGAAAAUGUGAGCUAAAGUUUCCUGGAAUAUACUCUGAUGUGUCCAGCAAGAAUGCAGGAUGAUACAAUUACAUUUGUAAUAAACAGAAGAGAAAGCAGCUUCAAGCAAAAAGGGCAUUCAGUGAACACUGCCACCUGAAGAUGAUUCUGUUCUCACUCUCAGUGGAUAAGCUGGAUGCUGGCAGUAAUGGCAGAACAUUUACAGAAGGACUGCAGCUGUCAAGGUAGGACACUGUGAUCUGUAUUCACGUGCGGUGCUGAUGUCUUGUUAAGCUUCUCCUGAAGAUCCAAUAUUUUUAUGAAGUGCAACGAAGUCAAAAAGUCUGAACUACUGAGGUCUUCCUAGAACUGGCUUCCCUUCAGACUGUACUAACGCCUAACACAUUGGAUGUCAGGCAUAUUUCCUGUUUCAAAAAGUUGUUUUUAUGUUAAUGCAACAGUUUAAGCC
Molecule: long non-coding RNA, 2671 nt
Organism: Lagopus leucura (white-tailed ptarmigan)
Lineage: Eukaryota; Metazoa; Chordata; Aves; Galliformes; Phasianidae
Exons: 4
Source: RefSeq, a predicted model, not a curated record